Molecule: ribosomal RNA, 160 nt
Filed under: uncultured bacterium
Lineage: Bacteria
Description: partial 16S ribosomal RNA
Rfam family: Bacterial small subunit ribosomal RNA
Source: RNAcentral
UGGGGAAUUUUGGACAAUGGGGGCAACCCUGAUCCAGCAAUGCCGCGUGAGUGAAGAAGGCCUUCGGGUUGUAAAGCUCUUUUGUCAGGGAAGAAACGGUAGUAGCUAAUAUCUAUUACUAAUGACGGUACCUGAAGAAUAAGCACCGGCUAACUACGUG